UCAGGCAUAUGAUGUUUCAAAAAUUUUGCCUACAUUGUCUGAUAAUCCAAUAAUAUCUAGUUAAAAUAAUUCCAUUCUGAGGCUUAC
Molecule: small nucleolar RNA, 87 nt
Organism: Brassica oleracea var. oleracea
Lineage: Eukaryota; Viridiplantae; Streptophyta; Magnoliopsida; Brassicales; Brassicaceae
Rfam family: Small nucleolar RNA SNORD34
About the family: snoRNA U34 is found in intron 5 of the ribosomal protein L13a gene in humans. U34 is a member of the C/D class of snoRNA which contain C (UGAUGA) and D (CUGA) box motifs, and functions in directing site-specific 2'-O-methylation of 25S rRNAs. Although the selection of the target nucleotide requires the antisense element and the conserved box D or D' of the snoRNA, the methyltransferase activity is thought to reside in one of the protein components.
Source: Rfam